This 73-nucleotide transfer RNA is filed under the name Paramuricea clavata. It matches the Rfam family "tRNA". Rfam says of the family: Transfer RNA (tRNA) molecules are approximately 80 nucleotides in length. Lineage: Eukaryota; Metazoa; Cnidaria; Anthozoa; Malacalcyonacea; Plexauridae. The record is from Rfam by way of RNAcentral.
GCCUCUGUAGCUCAGUUGGUUAGAGCGCUGCAGCAGAAUCGCAGGGCCGUAGGUUCAAUUCCUACCAGAGGAC